Long non-coding RNA from Amphimedon queenslandica, 268 nucleotides. RefSeq lists it as uncharacterized. The transcript has 4 exons. NCBI's taxonomy places the organism in Eukaryota, Metazoa, Porifera, Demospongiae, Haplosclerida, Niphatidae. The record is from RefSeq and is a predicted model, not a curated record.
GUGGUAUUGGUUCCUAUUUGGGGUUGUCUACUUCAUUCACAAGGAAUGAAAACGAUGCUGGCAACAGCUACAUAAGUAGGAACAGGUUUUAUGAAUUUGUUGGGUUAUUUAAUUUUCUUGCCUGGUUUUGCCAAAGAUACAGGGUAAUGACUGAGACUGCUACUCCCCCUGGAGACGUUAAUGAUAAUGGUGCAACACUUCUGUUCGUAUAACCAAUUAACUGCACAAUCCGAGCUAUUGCCUCAUCCUGCAUAUACACUGAUUUAUU